This is a non-coding RNA of Nothobranchius furzeri (turquoise killifish), 652 nucleotides long. NCBI's taxonomy places the organism in Eukaryota, Metazoa, Chordata, Actinopteri, Cyprinodontiformes, Nothobranchiidae. The record is from RefSeq and is a predicted model, not a curated record.
UGGUCCAGUUCUGUGUGCGUAGUUUGCAGAUUCAGCAAAAAUGAGCAAAGAAACAGAUCUAACACUCUAGUAACUGAUUAUUUAGAUGUGUUGACUCAGUCGCUGAUUUAAUUUCAUCCCUUUUUGCUCUCAGCGAUCUAAAAGCUGGAAACAUUCUUCUUGGAGAUGAUGGCUCUGUGCAGAUCGCUGACUUCGGCGUGAGUGCCUUUCUUGCAACGGGAGGAGACAUGACGAGGAAUAAAGUUCGGAAGGGGACGGUUUGUUGGGACGCCAUGCUGGAUGGCCCCAGAGGUCAUGGAGCAGGUUCGUGGCUACGACUUCAAAGCAGACAUCUGGAGUUUUGGAAUAACAGCUAUUGAACUGGCCACAGGGGCUGCGCCGUAUCACAAAUACCCACCAAUGAAGGUAUGAAUGCUUAACAAUAUUUUACACUAUUAAGUUGUUGUCAUUUUCUAUAGUUGUCUUAUAGGAUAUGGCAAACCUCUUUAAAAAGCCUAGAAACGAAUCCGAUGCGCCAGAGUUCUUGUCCCCUCCUGGUUUCGACUAAGCAAACGGGUACAGAGCCGCUCACUCAAAUACUUCAUCUUUCAUCUGGAACAAGUAAUUCAACCAGCAACUGAUGUAAGGAGGAGCUUCUUGUUUUUUUAAACAG